AGAAAAGAAGCUAUACCUUUAAGCAAUUAGCUGUUACCUAAUAAAUAGUGGUCACCCACCUUUUCUA
RNAcentral lists this transfer RNA (67 nucleotides) under Hyriopsis bialata. RNAcentral's name for it is "tRNA-Asn". Lineage: Eukaryota; Metazoa; Mollusca; Bivalvia; Unionida; Unionidae. The record is from RNAcentral.